CCAAGUUUUUAAGGGCGCACGGUGGAUGCCUUGGCACUAGGAACCGAUGAAGGACGUGGGAGGCCGCGAUAGGCCCCGGGGAGCUGUCAACCGAGCUUUGAUCCGGGGGUGUCCGAAUGGGGAAACCCGGCAGUCGUCAUGGGCUGUCACCCGCUGCUGAACACAUAGGCAGUGUGGAGGGAACGCGGGGAAGUGAAACAUCUCAGUACCCGCAGGAAGAGAAAACAACCGUGAUUCCGGGAGUAGUGGCGAGCGAAACUGGAUGAGGCCAAACCGUAUGCGUGUGAGACCCGGCAGGGGUUGCGUAUACGGGGUUGUGGGAUCUCUCUUCUGUUGUCUGCCGGCAACAGGACGAGUCAGAAACCGUUGAUGUAGGCGAAGGACAUGCGAAAGGUCCGGCGUAGAGGGUAAGACCCCCGUAGUCGAAACGUCAGCGGCUCGUUUGAGAGACACCCAAGUAGCACGGGGCCCGAGAAAUCCCGUGUGAAUCUGGCGGGACCACCCGCUAAGCCUAAAUAUUCCCUGGUGACCGAUAGCGGAUAGUACCGUGAGGGAAUGGUGAAAAGUACCCCGGGAGGGGAGUGAAAUAGUACCUGAAACCGUGUGCCUACAAGCCGUGGGAGCGUCGGAACAAGGCUUGCCUUGUUCUCGUGACUGCGUGCCUUUUGAAGAAUGAGCCUGCGAGUUUGCGGUGUGUUGCGAGGUUAACCCGUGUGGGGAAGCCGUAGCGAAAGCGAGUCCGAAUAGGGCGUUGGAGUAGCACGCUCAAGACCCGAAGCGGAGUGAUCUAGCCAUGGGCAGGUUGAAGCGGAGGUAAGACUUCGUGGAGGACCGAACCCACCAGGGUUGAAAACCUGGGGGAUGACCUGUGGUUAGGGGUGAAAGGCCAAUCAAACUCCGUGAUAGCUGGUUCUCCCCGAAAUGCAUUUAGGUGCAGCGUCGUGUGUUUCUUGCCGGAGGUAGAGCACUGGAUAGGCGAUGGGCCCUACCGGGUUACUGACCUUAGCCAAACUCCGAAUGCCGGUAAGUGAGAGCGCGGCAGUGAGACUGUGGGGGAUAAGCUCCAUGGUCGAGAGGGAAACAGCCCAGAGCAUCGACUAAGGCCCCUAAGCGUACGCUAAGUGGGAAAGGAUGUGGAGUCGCAGAGACAACCAGGAGGUUGGCUUAGAAGCAGCCACCCUUGAAAGAGUGCGUAAUAGCUCACUGGUCUAGUGAUUCCGCGCCGACAAUGUAGCGGGGCUCAAGCGUACCGCCGAAGUCGUGUCAUUCAUACAACAGCCCCAACGGGUGUAUGGAUGGGUAGGGGAGCGUCGUCUGCCGGGUGAAGCAGCCGUGUAAGCGAGUUGUGGACGGUUGACGAGUGAGAAUGCAGGCAUGAGUAGCGAUUCACACGUGAGAAACGUGUGCGCCGAUUGACUAAGGGUUCCUGGGUCAAGCUGAUCUGCCCAGGGUAAGUCGGGACCUAAGGCGAGGCCGACAGGCGUAGUCGAUGGAUAACCGGUUGAUAUUCCGGUACCCGCUGUGAAGCGUCAAACAUCGAGCAUCGUGAUGCUAAGGCCGUGAAGCCGCCGGUGAUCCCUUCGGGGUGAUCCGGAGUGGUGGAGCCGCCGAACCAAGCGGUUAGUAGGUGAGUGAUGGGGUGACGCAGGAAGGUAGUCCAGCCCGGGCGGUGGUUGUCCCGGGGUAAGGGUGUAGGACGUCAGGUAGGCAAAUCCGCCUGGCAAUAGUCUGAGACCUGAUGCCGAGCCGAUUGUGGUGAAGUGGAUGAUCCUAUGCUGUCGAGAAAAGCCUCUAGCGAGUUUCAUGGCGGCCCGUACCCUAAACCGACUCAGGUGGUCAGGUAGAGAAUACCGAGGCGUUCGGGUGAACUAUGGUUAAGGAACUCGGCAAAAUGCCCCCGUAACUUCGGGAGAAGGGGGGCCACAUCCGGUGACGGGCUUUGCGCCCUGAGCUGGGGGUGGCCGCAGAGACCAGCGAGAAGCGACUGUUUACUAAAAACACAGGUCCGUGCGAAGCCGUAAGGCGAUGUAUACGGACUGACGCCUGCCCGGUGCUGGAACGUUAAGGGGACCGGUUAGCUCCAUUUCGGUGGGGCGAAGCUGAGAACUUAAGCGCCAGUAAACGGCGGUGGUAACUAUAACCAUCCUAAGGUAGCGAAAUUCCUUGUCGGGUAAGUUCCGACCUGCACGAAUGGCGUAACGACUUCUCGACUGUCUCAACCAUAGGCCCGGUGAAAUUGCACUACGAGUAAAGAUGCUCGUUUCGCGCAGCAGGACGGAAAGACCCCGGGACCUUUACUACAGUUUGAUAUUGGUGUUCGGUUCGGCUUGUGUAGGAUAGCUGGGAGACUGUGAAGCGCUAACGCCAGUUAGUGUGGAGUCGUCGUUGAAAUACCAGUCUGGUCGUGCUGGAUGUCUAACCUGGGUCCGUGAUCCGGAUCAGGGACAGUGUCUGAUGGGUAGUUUAACUGGGGCGGUUGCCUCCUAAAGGGUAACGGAGGCGCCCAAAGGUUCCCUCAGCCUGGUUGGCAAUCAGGUGUUGAGUGUAAGUGCACAAGGGAGCUUGACUGUGAGACCGACGGGUCGAGCAGGGACGAAAGUCGGGACUAGUGAUCCGGCGGUGGCUUGUGGAAGCGCCGUCGCUCAACGGAUAAAAGGUACCCCGGGGAUAACAGGCUGAUCUUCCCCAAGAGUCCAUAUCGACGGGAUGGUUUGGCACCUCGAUGUCGGCUCGUCGCAUCCUGGGGCUGGAGUCGGUCCCAAGGGUUGGGCUGUUCGCCCAUUAAAGCGGUACGCGAGCUGGGUUUAGAACGUCGUGAGACAGUUCGGUCCCUAUCCGCUGUGCGCGUAGGAGUCUUGAGAAGGGCUGUCCCUAGUACGAGAGGACCGGGACGGACGAACCUCUGGUGUGCCAGUUGUUCUGCCAAGGGCAUGGCUGGUUGGCUACGUUCGGGAGGGAUAACCGCUGAAAGCAUCUAAGCGGGAAGCCUGCUUCGAGAUGAGGACUCCCACCUCCUGGAGAGGGUAAGGCUCCCAGUAGACGACUGGGUUGAUAGGCCGGAUAUGGAAGCACGGUAACGUGUGGAGUUGACCGGUACUAAUAGGCCGAGGGCUUGUCCUC
RNAcentral lists this ribosomal RNA (3120 nucleotides) under Streptomyces sp. Go-475. RNAcentral's name for it is "bacterial LSU rRNA". It matches the Rfam family "Bacterial large subunit ribosomal RNA". The record is from RNAcentral. Lineage: Bacteria; Bacillati; Actinomycetota; Actinomycetes; Kitasatosporales; Streptomycetaceae.